GUGGAAUUCUUUGGUAUUGGUUUUGUGACAUUGUCAAUCUUUCGGUUGUGUUGCUCCUACUGUUUGUGAAUUUAAUCAUUUGAUAAACUCAUUUUUAUUCAUAUGUUAAUAGCUGGAGAAACAUGAAGAUUAAGUGGCAAUUUAUGUGGAAUUCUUUGGUAUUGGUUUUGUGACAUUGUCAAUCUUUCGGUUGUGUU
Quercus lobata is the source of this 197-nucleotide long non-coding RNA. RefSeq lists it as uncharacterized. The transcript has 2 exons. Lineage: Eukaryota; Viridiplantae; Streptophyta; Magnoliopsida; Fagales; Fagaceae. The record is from RefSeq and is a predicted model, not a curated record.